Molecule: non-coding RNA, 518 nt
Organism: Podarcis muralis (Common wall lizard)
Lineage: Eukaryota; Metazoa; Chordata; Lepidosauria; Squamata; Lacertidae
Source: RefSeq, a predicted model, not a curated record
CUCCCAACCUUCUUCCGGAAGUGGAGCUUCCACUCCGAAUUGCCGCUCUGCCCCGUAGCUCGGGGGGGGGGCGCUUUCGGAAAGGGGAGGGAGGAGGCAGGGGACCCCCCCCGGUGGAUGUUGCAGGAAAGGAGAAUCGGGAGCGAGGAGAAAGAGGGCUUGACUUCAGGUGCAGCAGAAUUCCCCAGCCCCCCAAGGAUUUGAGACCCAUCAGCUUUCCUCACCUGGUUUUGCCAGCCGGUUGAAGCCAUUCCUGGGAUUGUGGCCCCUGAUUCAUCCUGACAGCUUCUGGAAGGCACAGGAUUUCCUUUCCUCCCACUCUGAAGAAGGUGAUGGAGAAGACAUUCAGGAUUCCAGGGGAUGGGGCACCUUUCGUUUCAUGAGGAAUAGAAAUUAAAAUGUGUGAAAUGUGGGAUAUGCUUCAUUGAAUGAGGACACAUAGCUCACAUCAAUGACUCCGAGAGGAGAAACCAUUUAAAAGUAUGGAAUGUGGGAAACGUUUCGCUGAGAGUGGAAAA